GUAUAUAUACAUACAUAAGCCUGGAAUGAUACAGAAAAGAUAAGCAUGAACUCUGAGCAAAGGUGACGCACAAAUUCAUGAAAUAUUCCGUAUUUUU
Small nuclear RNA from Sarcophilus harrisii (Tasmanian devil), 97 nucleotides. The record is from Ensembl. NCBI's taxonomy places the organism in Eukaryota, Metazoa, Chordata, Mammalia, Dasyuromorphia, Dasyuridae.